GAUGAAAACGUAGCGAAAUGCGAUAAGUAAUGUGAAUUGCUGAAUUCAGUGAAUCAUCGAAUCUUUGAACGCACCUUGCACCCUUUGGCAUUCCGAAGGGUAUGCUCGUUUGAGUGUCAUUGUACUCUCACACUUCCAAUCUUUGGAUUGGGAGCAGUGGACUUGGGUGUUGCUGCUUACUGUGGCUCACCUCAAAUCGAUUCGUGCACCUCUUGGUUGGACAUAGUACGGCUUGAUAAGUGUCUUCGCCGGCACCUCAGUAGAGGGUGGCUGAUCAGGAGCUCUGUGCUUCAAACCGUCCUCGGACAACAACUGACAACUUGACCUCAAAUCGAGUAGGACUACCCGCUGAACUUAAGCAUAUCAAUAAGCGGAGGA
This 378-nucleotide unclassified non-coding RNA is filed under the name soil metagenome. RNAcentral's name for it is "partial contains 5.8S ribosomal RNA, internal transcribed spacer 2, and large subunit ribosomal RNA". The stretch from base 1 to 119 matches the Rfam family "5.8S ribosomal RNA", at positions 35 to 154 of the family's 154-position model. The record is from RNAcentral.